Molecule: long non-coding RNA, 1332 nt
Filed under: Carica papaya (papaya)
Lineage: Eukaryota; Viridiplantae; Streptophyta; Magnoliopsida; Brassicales; Caricaceae
Description: long non-coding RNA (CPAP_LNC015133)
Source: RNAcentral
CCAUGGCUGUUGAAACAUCGUUGUCUGCUUGUUUAAACACACAAGGCUGAUGAUAUGUCUCAACUUCUUCCUCUUGUGUUUAUCCUUUUUCCGCAUGUGUUUUUGUGAGAAGCAACUUCACUUAUAUGGCACAAAAUGUCAACUAACUUUCCUUUCCUACCAUAAACUCCCCUUUUGGGACCUGGAUAUUUCUGACAUUCUAAAAGCUUCUUCCAUCCAUUGACUUCUCUACUCCUGCAAAUGUGAAUCACAGCAAGCUCCAAGAUCGAGAUCAUGGAUAUUUCCUGCUUAGAAGCUAGGUACCUCUCUGUGUUUUUCCCUCUCUGAUCUCUGUCUCCUUUCAUGGCUGUUGUUGUUGCUAAUUUUGGCUGCAAAUUAUGGGUUAUUGAGCAUCUGGGUAUGAACAUGGGUAUAAUUGCUAAUUUUGGACCGUUUAGUUGGAUUUAAUGAUGGUUGUGACUGGAAUUGGAGAAUUUGUACGUGAAAGUUUGAGAGAGAAAGUUGUCGUGGGUAUAAUUGAAUUCACAGCUGAAACAGUCGACUACACUGUAUGGAAUUUUCUUCUGUACUUUUGGCUUCUUUUUUCUUUUUUGGUUAUUAAUUGGAGUCAAGGAUGUCAACUUUGUUUAAUUGAAUCAUGGAUGGGAAGUAGAAAUGAUGACUCUCGAUUUAAUGAUCUCGAGCUGUUUGUGGAUUGGCAUAAUAUAUAUAUAUAUAUAUAUUUAAAUAUAAUGAUAAGUUCAAUUGAAUAUCACUCACACCUCAUUACAGAAAGGGGCUUUGUGUGAUUGAAACGGUGAAAAGGCUAUAAUUCUUGAAUCAUAGAAAUUCGUGUGGCACAAAUUUUAUUUCUACAGGUUGUUACUGUUAAUGUACAGACUGAAUUUUCCUAAUGCUCUGAGCUGAGAUGAAGUUCGGUAACUUGUUAUAUAGCAAGUUCCCUGCCAGUUCACUGAGUUCUUUUAGCACAUUUUGGAGGUGGAAAAGAAAGGAAUAGAUUUUAUAAGUAGUAGUGUUAAUAUCUUUAUUUAAGGUCUUGAUUGUUCGAAUACGUGACCAAUUGAUUUUGUUUAGCCUGUUUAUUCUUGCUAAUUAUGUUGUUCUUUUCUCUCUGGGCACUAGGUAUCUUGAUUCUUGCAGGCAGCACGAGGUGCUACCAAAUUCUGCAGUAUUAUCCUGGUUUUCUAAGGUCAGUUUAUUAAGGUUUACCUGGUUUCGUCGUCUUAGGUUUUUUUAUUAUUAUUAUUUUUUUUUUAUAUUGGGUUUGUUAUUGGUUUUAACCAUGUUUCAUACUACUCAUACUGUUGGUGGUGGAAAAAUGUUUAGCACUUU